GCCGCGGGGUCUGUGGGGUUUGGGGAAUGGCCGGUGUCCCCUGCAGGUGUUCCGGUACCUGCGGACGCUCCUGCCCGAGAGCGGCUUCAGCAUCCAGCGCUGCACCCGCUACAGCCGCGACACCAACGGCGCCAGGGUGGUGUCCACCCGCGCCUGGUGAGCCCAAAAUCCCCCCAAAACCCCCAGAAUCCCCCCAAAAACACCCCAGAAUCCCCCCAAAAUCCCCGGGGACUCUGAGCCCCCCUGAACCCGCCACAGCCACGGCACUGACAGCCCAAACCCCUCAGGAUCGGGUGUAAUUUCCAUUUCCGACUGUCCAGGUACCCAAACCCCUCAGGACUGAGGUGUAAUUUCCCUUUCUGGCUGUACAGCCACACACGACAGGUGCCCAAACCCCUCAGGAUUGGGUGUAAUUUCCCUUUCCGACUGUCCAGGUACCCAAACUCCCCUCAGAAUCGGGUGUAAUUUCCCUUUCUGACUGUCCAGGUACCCAAACUCCCCUCAGGAUUUGGUGUAAUUUCCCUUUCUGACUGUCCAGGUAGCCAAACUACCCUCAGAAUCGGGUGUAAUUUCCCUCUCUGGCUCUCCUCCCGCACACGGCGGGUACCCAAACCCCUGAGGAUUAAGGUAAUUAAUUAAUUAAUUAAGGUAAUUCAUUUUAAUUUCCCUUCGUGCGUCCCCAGGCGCAAGCACGAGACGCUGGAGCUGCUGGGGGGCUGCGGGGUGGAGCUGCGGGGCUCGGACCGGGCGCUGCUCCGGGCGGGCGACAACGACUUCAGCCUCAUGUACUCCACACGGCGCCGGAAAACCCAGCUCUGGCUGGGGCCCGCGGCCUUCAUCAACCACGGUGGGACCCUAAAACCUCCCAGGAACUCAGCCACGAGCCCAAAAAUCCUGCGCUGGGACCCCCCGGAAUCCCCCCGAGCAGCCUCGGGACCCACCUGGCUGUCGUGGCGGUCCUUGAGCAGGCGCUGAUGGUUCUUUUGUUCUCCUCAGAUUGCCAUCCCAACUGCAGGUUUGUGUCAGCCCCGGGCGGGGCGCGGGUGCAGGCGCUGCGGGACAUCCCACCCCGGGCAGAAAUCACCUGUUUCUACGGCGAUGGCUUCUUCGGCGAGGGCAACCGCGGCUGCGAGUGCCGCACCUGCGAGAGGUACCCCCAAAACCUCCGGGGGACCCCGAAAAUCCUCAGAGGGUGCCCAAAAACCUUCAGGGGGAGAGGGGAAUGGACUCUGAGAACCUCACAGAGGAGACUCUAAAAAUCUCCUUGAAAGGCCCCAGAAACUUCCAUGGGGGGGGACUCCAAAAUGGGGGGAGAUUCUAAAACAGGUGUGAGAAAGCCCAAAUUU
Molecule: long non-coding RNA, 1346 nt
Filed under: Cyanistes caeruleus (blue tit)
Lineage: Eukaryota; Metazoa; Chordata; Aves; Passeriformes; Paridae
Description: lncRNA (ENSCCEG00000012901.1)
Source: RNAcentral